This is a non-coding RNA of Triticum aestivum (bread wheat), 126 nucleotides long. The record is from Rfam. NCBI's taxonomy places the organism in Eukaryota, Viridiplantae, Streptophyta, Magnoliopsida, Poales, Poaceae.
GACGUAUUUCCUCCGUCCGAAAAAACUUGUAUUAAACUUGUCCCUUAAAUGGAUGUAUCUAGCACUAAUUUGGUUCUAAAUACAUCCAUUCGAUGGACAAGUUUUUUCGGAUGAAGGGAGUAUGUG